AUACGUAGGUGGCAAGCGUUAUCCGGAUUUAUCGGGCGUAAAGCGAGCGCAGGCGGUUUGAUAAGUCUGAUGUGAAAGCCUUUGGCUUAACCAAAGAAGUGCAUCGGAAACUGUCAGACUUGAGUGCAGAAGAGGACAGUGGAACUCCAUGUGUAGCGGUGGAAUGCGUAGAUAUAUGGAAGAACACCAGUGGCGAAGGCGGCUGUCUGGUCUGCAACUGACGCUGAGGCUCGAAAGCAUGGGUAGCGAACAGGAUUAGAUACCCUGGUAGUCCAUGCCGUAAACGAUGAAUGCCAGUCGUCGGGUAGCAUGCUGCUCGGUGACACACCUAACGGAUUAAGCAUUCCGCCUGGGGAUACGGUCGCAAGAUUAAAACUCAAAGGAAUUGACGGGGCCCGCACAAGCGGUGGAGCAUGUGGUUUAAUUCGAAGCAACGCGCAGAACCUUACCAACCCUUGACAUCCUCAUCGAGAUUUCUGGAGAC
This 484-nucleotide ribosomal RNA is filed under the name uncultured Lactobacillus sp. RNAcentral describes it as "bacterial SSU rRNA". It matches the Rfam family "Bacterial small subunit ribosomal RNA", at positions 523 to 1007 of the family's 1533-position model. The record is from RNAcentral. Lineage: Bacteria; Bacillati; Bacillota; Bacilli; Lactobacillales; Lactobacillaceae.